Molecule: non-coding RNA, 86 nt
Organism: Acanthosepion pharaonis
Lineage: Eukaryota; Metazoa; Mollusca; Cephalopoda; Sepiida; Sepiidae
Source: the annotation of a GenBank genome assembly
UUCCUGAUCGAUCACAGGAGUUAAGCAAUCUCGAGCCUGGUCAGUACUGCAAUGGGGGACCUCUUGUGAACACUGGGUACUGUAAG